Molecule: transfer RNA, 89 nt
Filed under: marine eukaryotic metagenome
Rfam family: tRNA
About the family: Transfer RNA (tRNA) molecules are approximately 80 nucleotides in length. Their secondary structure includes four short double-helical elements and three loops (D, anti-codon, and T loops). Further hydrogen bonds mediate the characteristic L-shaped molecular structure. tRNAs have two regions of fundamental functional importance: the anti-codon, which is responsible for specific mRNA codon recognition, and the 3' end, to which the tRNAs corresponding amino acid is attached (by aminoacyl-tRNA synthetases). tRNAs cope with the degeneracy of the genetic code in two manners: having more than one tRNA (with a specific anti-codon) for a particular amino acid; and 'wobble' base-pairing, i.e. permitting non-standard base-pairing at the 3rd anti-codon position.
Source: RNAcentral
GAGAGGUGGCUGAGCGGUUGAAAGCGGAGGAUUGCUAAUCCUUUGUAGGGUAAUUUCGCCCUACCGCGGGUUCGAAUCCCGCCCUCUCC